GUGUCAUUAUUAUUCAUAUUGUUGCUUCAGCUCUCCUCCGUCUUCCUGUUAGCUUCAGAUUCAUAAGAGAAGAGAUGGUUUUUCCAUCCUCGUAAACAUCUUCAUAAACCCAAGCAAAAGUCCUCCUGCCUUUAACCUUCUGAUAGUCUACAUUUGUUUUACCUAAAAUAGAAUCAGUGUAUAAAUACAUACAUUGAAAUGUAGAGAUUUACUGUAACAUCCCUAUUGUACUGCAAUUACCAGUUUAAUGACUCGUUGGAUAUGAAUAUUAUUUUGUCAGAUGUAAGUUUGCCAGAGGCACAAGUAUUCUAAAAUUGUCAAAAUAGGAAUACACGUUGCGUAGCAGAGCGUCCUCUAUAUAAAUUUCAUAUAGUUUAAUUAAAUGGCAUCCAGUGAUUGAAAAAGAUACAGUUUCAAUUAAAGAGCUUUAAUUGAAAAAGGUCAUUUCAAAAACUAAAUGUUCUAUUAGAAAUUCAAUUACCUCCCCGAGAAAAGGAAUAUAAUAUAAUUCUUCAUAAUGGACUCUGGAAUGUAAUAAGUUGGCCAAUUAACUAUUUUUUAUUUGAUUUAGCUAGAUUUUAUGAUCUUUGUUCACAAUAUCAAUUACAUGGAGAGCUUUGUGUAGCCACUGCUCAUAAUGGCUGCAAAUGGCAGAGGAGGAAAGAACCCUUGACUAAUUAAUGCAUCCCUAACCAGCUUUCAAUUAUAACACAAAUCACGCACCAACACACAUCUAGGUCACGAUUCUCAGCCUUUGUUCAGCACAGAGUUUUAACAUUAGAAACUUUACUUUUUCAAACUAAAGCAGGGAUUUAUGUCAAGAUGACAAAAUAUAUCAUCACCAAGUUAUAACACUGAACGUGUACUGGUUUUGUGUGGACUUUCCAGAGGUUUGUGCUUUAAACAUCGUCAGGUGAAUCUCGGCUGCUUUUACACUUUUGACAGAUAUCAAUCAAUCCAGCAGAGGAGGUCAGCGCUUUUAAUUUGCUCACGCUGCGUCCUGGGAAAUGAAUAUUCAGCACUUUAAUAAUAAAGCUGUGCUGUUUGUGCACACCCAAGACAUUCAUUUGCCAGCACCAUUGCGUUUUUCCCUUCCCAAACAUACCGUAUAUGCCGUAACAGACAAAGUGGUACCGUGGACAUUUAAACAGCCGAAAAUACGAAUGGCGAGAAUGCUCUUUUCCUUACUUUGCCGCGGUGGUCUGGGGUUUUUCCACCAGAGCUCGGUUGCAUAGUCCGGUGCAGAAGGAGAAGCUAGAACUUAGUGAAGCUGAUUGCCGACAGACACACUGAUGCUGGAAAUAUGUGCAUCAAAUACUACAGCGAUUCUGUCACGAUGUGACUAGUUAAAAUCACUCAGCCAAAUGCAACAUUUUAGACCCAAACCGUGUAUAUAUAAUCAAAUACAUUCACUUCACGUUAUUCACUCACUUUUCAGAUUAAAUAAAUUAUUCACGCUUCCAACUACAACUCGUAAAAGGGAGAAGAAAGAAAUUUCUUCAGCGCAUCAGUGAUAAUCAUACGAAAACACAAUAUUGAUAAUAGUGGAAGUCGUAACCAGUGAUCAAAGUAAAAACAUGUUUCAGAUUAUUUGGAUUUAUUUAGAUUUUUUUAAUUAAGUUAAUACUAUUUCCUAACAUAAAGGUUCAGCUGCUCUGCAAUACUUCUAAAAUACUUGAAUAGAAAAUAGAGAGGACGUCAUUGUUCUGUUGCAUUUUAUUGUGCUUCAGUUCUGUUGAAGUUGUACUUUGCUCAAGAUAUACACAUACUUUGACUUGCAGGGUGCAAAUGAUAUUAUUUGUUCAAUAAAAUGUCUUCUGCCACCACUUUCCACAAUGAGAAGACCUUCCUUUUUGACUGAGUUUGUAAAUGUCAUAAUGGUACAUCAACCUGAAAUAAAUAUUAUAGGUGGAUUUUGAAUCUCCCAUUAAAUUGAUCAGAAAGUGACUCCUCAUUCAUCUCUGUGUCUUCUUCCUUUAAUCUUCAUCCAAACAUGAAAGCUAAACAACCUUUUAAAGUCAAAAUGUCACAAUUUCAAUUUCUCUCUACGCGUGAAUAUUUUUGUAUUUUUUAUAUGAUCAUAAAUGGAUCAAAAUAAGCUUGUUGAAGAUCACCUGCAGUCUGGCAAAUGGUGAUGUGCAAUUGUUUUGGACCAAAGAAAGUUUAGCUGAUAAUGAACAUAAUAGUUUGAUGCGGCCUGCAAUGCCAUCCUGAUUCCUUGAGAUGAAACCACAGUAUUCAACGUCCUGCGCUAAAAGAUGCCAGUUGUUUUCCAGUAGGGGGCAAUAUUAACCAGGGAGGGAGGGAAAUAAGGGAAUUAAAGGGAUGAUUUGUUACUACGAAACAAUAGAGACCCAACUAAACCCAAAUGAUAUGCUGCGUGUCCUUUAAACCCAUCCAGCACAAGAACUGUGAUGUGUUUGAUUGACAGCCUACAAGCAUCACUGUUCUCAAUUACAACAUGCAUACAUGAUUUACACAGUGCAAUAAACUGUCGCUCAAUGUUGAGGAUCCACCUGAAAUGUGGAAUAAGUGCAGAGCGCAGUAAACGAUCACAUCCUCUUUGUGAAACGCACAAAGUAAACAGACAUCUGAUUCUCAGGCAACUUUGAUAAACCGACUGAUGCUGCACACAAACCUGCUUUAUUACAUGUUCAGUCUCAAAUCCCCAGAGAGAAAAUGUGUGUUGUUUGAAAAAAACAACACGUGUUUAACACACACACACGCACGCACACUCACACAAAGAGCGUAAGACGACAAACUGAAUAAUUUCACAGUGCUUCCUCCGGCAAAGAGAAGUGAGACUUCCACAGGAGCAGUGGGUUAUUAUCACUGCAUAAUGUAUUCUCAUCAUGGAAUAGUAAUCGUCAUGCAAUUAUUCACAAUCUGACCUCAAAACAAAGUAGAGGCAAAACAUCAGCUUCGACCACGCUGGAGAAGAUGAUGCCGGUUAAUCAAUCAGCCGAUUACAGUUAUUAUUGUUAUGGUCUCGUCGUGUUGCUUAUGAUGAAACACAAACCCCAUCUAGAUGCUUUUGGAAUCAUUGCAUUUAAUCACAUUAUGUGCUUAAGUGGAAUUUAUGGCUUCUUUACAACUAGAUUUCAAAAGGAAAUAUAUGCUAUUAUUUUUAUGAUGUAAUCUAUUUCUUUAAUCAGAGCUACAGUUACUCUAAUGAUGAAGGUUUCAUAAAAUAUACCAUCGUCUAUAAAAUGCAAAUUAAUUUUCAUGGCUGAAAAUUAGAGCAUUACAUCUCCAUGCAUAGAAAAUAAUGAAUAUGAACAUGAAUAAAGGGCAUUUUAAAAACAGGACUUUUAUUUGUUAAUUGUCUUGUGGGACACAUUUCCAUAAGUGGUAUUUCUGAAUUGGGGUAUUUACUUCUGUCAGGGAUCUGUUCUGGAAGAAUACGGAGAAGAAUACAAAGGGUGUAGCUGAAUAAACCCCCAGCUUUCACCUCCACGCCUGAAUCAAAUCCAAGCAGGACCCUGCCUCUGUGGUCCUCUGUGUCCUCUGUAGUCCUCUAUGGUCCUCCUGGUCCUCUGUAGUCCUCUAUGGUCCUCCUGGUCGUCUGUAGUCCUCUGUAGUCCUCCUGCUCCUCUGUAGUCCUCCUGCUCCUCUGUAGUCCUCCUGUCCUCUGUAGUCCUCUGUAGUCCUCCUUACAGCACAUGGGCUCAAUAUCUCCAAGAAAACAAAUCCUCAGCAUUGCAAUCGUUCCCAUUAAAUAAGUAUUAAAAAUACUAAUCGGCCCAAACGUUGGGGCGAUAUGAAAUAAAGAC
Gasterosteus aculeatus aculeatus (three-spined stickleback) is the source of this 3773-nucleotide long non-coding RNA. The record is from Ensembl. NCBI's taxonomy places the organism in Eukaryota, Metazoa, Chordata, Actinopteri, Perciformes, Gasterosteidae.